AAUACUAUCGUGCCAGUUGGUACUCUCAAAUGACAGUGUAUGUAUGUCAAAUGAGGUGUUGAAAAGGGAAUCUGGUGAAAAUCCAGAACUGACGCGCAGCGGUAAAUAGAAGACAAGAUCUUAAGUGACACUGCAUCGGAUGUGGGAAGUCGAGAUUUUGGCGGUUAUCUCAGGGGUAAUCAUAUUCUUAAGUCCGAAGACCUGCCAGCAACCGGGAGAUAAC
Molecule: non-coding RNA, 223 nt
Filed under: Vibrio sp.
Lineage: Bacteria; Pseudomonadati; Pseudomonadota; Gammaproteobacteria; Vibrionales; Vibrionaceae
Source: RNAcentral